CAAUAGCGUAUAUUAAAGUUGUUGCAGUUAAAAAGCUCGUAGUUGAAUUUCUGUCAGGAGUGACCGGGCCUUUGGAUGAACUUCCAUUGUUUUUUGCUCUGUUUGUCAUCUCUAGACAUCCUGAAAUAUUUUUUAAAAAUAUUUCUCUUUUACUGUUAGCAAAAUAGAGUGUUCCAAGCAAAGCGUAGUUUUGAAUACAUUAGAAUGGAAUAAUAAGAUAGGACUUUGGUGCUAUUUUGUUGGUUUGCACACCAAGGUAAUGAUUAAUAGGGACAGUUGGGGGUAUUCGUAUUUAAUUGUCAGAGGUGAAAUUCUUGGAUUUAUGAAAGACGAACUACUGCGAAAGCAUUUACCAAGGAUGUCUUCAUUAA
Molecule: ribosomal RNA, 371 nt
Filed under: uncultured eukaryote
Lineage: Eukaryota
Description: partial 18S ribosomal RNA
Rfam family: Eukaryotic small subunit ribosomal RNA
Source: RNAcentral